This 619-nucleotide ribosomal RNA is filed under the name Salmonella enterica subsp. enterica serovar Enteritidis. RNAcentral describes it as "partial 23S ribosomal RNA". It matches the Rfam family "Bacterial large subunit ribosomal RNA", at positions 1 to 590 of the family's 2925-position model. The record is from RNAcentral. Lineage: Bacteria; Pseudomonadati; Pseudomonadota; Gammaproteobacteria; Enterobacterales; Enterobacteriaceae.
GGGUUGUGAGGUUAAGCGACUAAGCGUACACGGUGGAUGCCCUGGCAGUCAGAGGCGAUGAAGGGCGUGCUAAUCUGCGAUAAGCGCCGGUAAGGUGAUAUGAACCGUUAUAACCGGCGAUACCCGAAUGGGGAAACCCAGUGUGACUCGUCACACUAUCAUUAACUGAAUCCAUAGGUUAAUGAGGCGAACCGGGGGAACUGAAACAUCUAAGUACCCCGAGGAAAAGAAAUCAACCGAGAUUCCCCCAGUAGCGGCGAGCGAACGGGGAGGAGCCCAGAGCCUGAAUCAGCAUGUGUGUUAGUGGAAGCGUCUGGAAAGGCGCGCGAUACAGGGUGACAGCCCCGUACACAAAAGCGCAUGUGCUGUGAGCUCGAUGAGUAGGGCGGGACACGUGGUAUCCUGUCUGAAUAUGGGGGGACCAUCCUCCAAGGCUAAAUACUCCUGACUGACCGAUAGUGAACCAGUACCGUGAGGGAAAGGCGAAAAGAACCCCGGCGAGGGGAGUGAAAAAGAACCUGAAACCGUGUACGUACAAGCAGUGGGAGCCCCACCACCAAAGCAUUUGCUGUACCGCGUUGACGGAGCGAAGCGACGUCAAACCGAUAAAACAGCAGUG